Neltuma alba is the source of this 336-nucleotide long non-coding RNA. RefSeq lists it as uncharacterized. Lineage: Eukaryota; Viridiplantae; Streptophyta; Magnoliopsida; Fabales; Fabaceae. The transcript is spliced from 3 exons. The record is from RefSeq and is a predicted model, not a curated record.
GCAAGAUUUUUCAGCACCUCUAGUAUCUCUUCAUUGCCAUUUUCUUUCUGCUGCUGUCAAGAGUUACGCCUGUUUAAGGAAAAAUGAUUCUGUUCUGCUAAAGUGCACAAUUAAAGGCAUUUUGAGCCAUAUUUCCUCUCCUUCACGGUUACAUCUAGUUAAUUUCAGAAAGGAGAACUCUUGGGCCUACUUAGAAGAGGGGAUUGAGGAGUGAACUUAUCUCAAGGUUUUAUAAACCAAAACCAUUUAAAGGUGGGAGCACAAGAGAUAGCACUCCAGACUCUGUAUUACCAGCUGAGCCGUGAAGAGCCUUGUCAAAGAUCCAGAGCAUGUAAU